This 27-nucleotide non-coding RNA is filed under the name Cricetulus griseus (Chinese hamster). The record is from RNAcentral. Lineage: Eukaryota; Metazoa; Chordata; Mammalia; Rodentia; Cricetidae.
GAUAAGAAUGUCCUGGAUAGUGACGAU